This 478-nucleotide ribosomal RNA is filed under the name uncultured bacterium. RNAcentral's name for it is "partial 16S ribosomal RNA". It matches the Rfam family "Bacterial small subunit ribosomal RNA", at positions 28 to 523 of the family's 1533-position model. The record is from RNAcentral.
GACGAACGCUGGCGGCGUGCUUAACACAUGCAAGUCGAACGGUAAGGCCCUUCGGGGUACACGAGUGGCGAACGGGUGAGUAACACGUGGGUGAUCUGCCCUGCACUUCGGGAUAAGCCUGGGAAACUGGGUCUAAUACCGGAUAGGACUCCGGACUGCAUGGUCUGGGGUGGAAAGCUUUUGCGGUGUGGGAUGGGCCCGCGGCCUAUCAGCUUGUUGGUGGGGUGAUGGCCUACCAAGGCGACGACGGGUAGCCGGCCUGAGAGGGUGACCGGCCACACUGGGACUGAGAUACGGCCCAGACUCCUACGGGAGGCAGCAGAGGGGAAUAUUGCACAAUGGGCGCAAGCCUGAUGCAGCGACGCCGCGUGAGGGAUGACGGCCUUCGGGUUGUAAACCUCUUUUAGUAGGGAAGAAGCGAAAGUGACGGUACCUGCAGAAAAAGCACCGGCCAACUACGUGCCAGCCGCCGCGGUAA